AGGGAUGUAGCUCAGACGGUAGAGCGGCGGUCUCCAAAACCGUUCGUCGGGGGUUCGAGUCCCUCCGUCCCUG
Molecule: transfer RNA, 73 nt
Filed under: Frankia nepalensis
Lineage: Bacteria; Bacillati; Actinomycetota; Actinomycetes; Frankiales; Frankiaceae
Rfam family: tRNA
About the family: Transfer RNA (tRNA) molecules are approximately 80 nucleotides in length.
Source: Rfam by way of RNAcentral